CUACACCAAACCCUACCCUAUCCAUAUAUUAUCCCCCCGCAGUACCAAUUCCAAACCCUAACCCUAAUUCUCUGAAAACCGAAAUGUCGCAUUUCGGAAGAACGGGUCCUCCCGACAUCAGAGACACCUUCUCUCUUCUCGUCCUCAACAUCACUUUCCGCACUACUGCAGAUGAUCUCUUCCCCCUUUUCGAUAAGUACGGAAAAGUUGUCGACAUCUUCAUCCCCAGAGACCGAAGGACUGGAGAAUCGAGAGGAUUUGCAUUCGUUCGGUACAAGUACGCAGAUGAGGCGCAGAAGGCUGUUGAGAAGCUCGAUGGAAGGACUGUCGAUGGUAGAGAUAUUAUGGUUCAGUUUGCGAAAUAUGGGCCCAAUGCAGAACCUAUUAAGAAAGGGAGGGUAGUAGAAAUGUUUCCAAAGACAAGAGGCAGGUCGAGAAGCCGCAGUCCUAGGCCGAGGUACCGGGAUGAUUACAGGGGGAGAGAUAAUAGAAGGAGAAGUCGUAGUCGAAGCAGGGACAGGUAUGAUCGUGAUAGGAACCGUGGGAGGGAAAGAGAUCAUCAUCGUCGAAGCAGGAGCCGAAGUGCAAGUCCUGCUGACUACAAAGGCCGCAGCAAAGGCAGGGUGGAUGAUGAACCCAAGAAGAGCAGGAGCCGGUCGGUGGACAGUGGAUCUCCUGCUCGGCGCAGUCUUAGCCCUCGAAGGAGCCCAUCUCCACGUAGGACACCUUCCCGUGAUCGAAGUCCUGAUAGGCGCAGUCCUGUUGAAGAACGAUCUUCUCCUCCAGCAAGUGUUUCACCACGAGGACAUCGGCGUGCUCAUUCUCGAAGUCUGUCCCCACAUAACUCAGAUGGCGAUGACUGAUGGCAGUGUCUGGAUUCCUUGUCUGGUGAUGCCUGAAGGAAGAUGCAUCUCUGUUGGCUUUGCAGGAUGAUUGCGUCGGUUUUGCAUAAUGCAUGUUCUCAUCAAGUACUUAAAUGCUGCUUUUGUUCUGUUCGAGAAAGAGUGAUUGUGGCUGAUAGGGGAGAUGGUUGCAGAGGAAUAUGUCUUCCUUCCUGCUGAUGAUAUUGUUGCUGAUGCUGUUUAUACUUCCUAGAUGAUGUUCAUAUUGAUGCUGAUUGCAAACGAGUGUCUAAUCCACGCCCAAGUUCCUAGAUUGAAAAUAUGUUGACCUUUUUAUUGCCAUUGUUACUUGAUUGGUAAGUUUCAUAUUUACCUCUCUUCUGAUGUUCUCCUACCCAUUGGGAAUCUGAUUGCCAUUGAUUUUUAAAUUGUAAGCCCUGAUAGUAGUAGCUGUGCUGUGAUGGCCAAAAAGAUGAUUGGAACGGGAACGUGACUUUACAUGUAGCCGGUGCUGCCCAUGGGCCAGAUUUACUGUCCACUUGUGCUGAUGCUGCUGCAAAAGCUGAAACUUGGCAUGCUGAGCUGGCCCUGCCAUGUAAACGUGAGUUUGGGACUGGGUAACAGAUGUCCAAUUGCUUAUUUCUCCAGUAGGUUGUUCAGUCAGACUUCACCUUCUCUUUAAUGUAAUCUUUAUAGUCUGAGCUGUUAGGAUUUCGACUCACAUUGCAUCAUGUACUGGGAUGUGAUAGCAUUUGGGGUUGCGAUUGUAGCUGUAAAGUGCAAAAGACGGUGAGGGCUAAGUGGAUGUGAUAUAGCACUUGAGGUCGUGAUUGUAGCUGUGGAGGAAAAUACGAGAAUGUCUAGUGUAUAUCCCACCUGUGGGCUGUGGCGGGCUGUUGCUGUCCAUCAUGGUUGCAGAGGUCAGGUUGAGCUUGGUGUUACUUUUGGUGCUGAUGAGUGAUUCCUGGUUUGGUUGGUGGAUUGUUGUCUGCUGACCCCGACUCCAAUGGAUCUUCUUCCAUUGUGGAUGUGGUGAUACAUUAUCUGCUAAGAUCCACCAUCUAUUUUAUUCCAAGCUUGGAAAUUUCCAUUACUUGGAAGUCUAGGAUUGUUCCAAUGUUGUUGGUCCUCGAUGUGGGGUUUUUGGUUGGCUCAAAGCAUGCACCAGAAAUCAUUGGAAGCUGGAAGUAAUAGAUGAAGACAAUGCAACAGGAUGAAAUAUUCUGGCUUCAAAUUUUAAUUGAAUAUGAAAAAAGGAAUGCCGCUUGCAUAGAGCCAGAUGAUAAGAGUUAGAACUGAAACACAUCUUGUUUAUUCCUCAAGUACUUUAAUGUUCAUGUCUGUGCAUUUUGUGUUUU
This is an RNA transcript of Magnolia sinica, 2200 nucleotides long. It is a transcript of the gene named serine/arginine-rich splicing factor SC35-like, with no coding region annotated. The transcript has 10 exons. The record is from RefSeq and is a predicted model, not a curated record. NCBI's taxonomy places the organism in Eukaryota, Viridiplantae, Streptophyta, Magnoliopsida, Magnoliales, Magnoliaceae.